This 484-nucleotide ribosomal RNA is filed under the name uncultured bacterium. Its description in RNAcentral is "partial 16S ribosomal RNA". It matches the Rfam family "Bacterial small subunit ribosomal RNA", at positions 30 to 507 of the family's 1533-position model. The record is from RNAcentral.
AUUGAACGCUGGCGGCAGGCCUAACACAUGCAAGUCGAGCGGAUGAAGGGAGCUUGCUCCUGGAUUCAGCGGUGGACGGGUGAGUAAUGCCUAGGAAUCUGCCUGGUAGUGGGGGAUAACGUCCGGAAACGGGCGCUAAUACCGCAUACGUCCUGAGGGAGGAAGUGGGGGAUCUUCGGACCUCACGCUAUCAGAUGAGCCUAGGUCGGAUUAGCUAGUUGGUGGGGUAAAGGCCUACCAAGGCGACGAUCCGUAACUGGUCUGAGAGGAUGAUCAGUCACACUGGAACUGAGACACGGUCCAGACUCCUACGGGAGGCAGCAGUGGGGAAUAUUGGACAAUGGGCGAAAGCCUGAUCCAGCCAUGCCGCGUGUGUGAAGAAGGUCUUCGGAUUGUAAAGCACUUUAAGUUGGGAGGAAGGGCAGUAAGUUAAUACCUUGCUGUUUUGACGUUACCAACAGAAUAAGCACCGGCUAACUUCGUG